Molecule: long non-coding RNA, 994 nt
Filed under: Nicotiana benthamiana
Lineage: Eukaryota; Viridiplantae; Streptophyta; Magnoliopsida; Solanales; Solanaceae
Description: long non-coding RNA (NBEN_LNC004571)
Source: RNAcentral
AAAGAUUUAAUUGGAUAUUGAACUAAUUCUUGUACUCAAAUUAGACUCAACUUUUACUACCUAGCCUAAAUAGACUUGAACCCAUUAGCCCAAAACUCAUACCUAAACCUAGACUUAAACCAAUAUAGAGAUAUAGAUUCAGAUUUUUCCAUACAUCUCAGACCCUUAGAACACGGAAAACGGCGCAAAAAAUCCCCUCCCCUUUUCCUUCGUCUUCGUUCCUCAUCUUCAAAAGAAUCAGAUUCUACCCCUUCAAGACCCUAGCAGAUGUUGAUGCCUCCUCCAUCUCAUACACACGCACCUUCACUCAUAGUAAAGUAGCCUAAACAUAAAUUUCUAUAUUCAAGAAAUUUAAUCUUAGAUCUGAAAAACCCAAAAGCUUCAAGAACAAAGACAAAACAACCAAAAAAAGUUAUUUCGAAACUAUUUCCUCUCCAUCAUUUGCUAUAUAUAUUCUGGUAUUUCUAAAGGACGCUUGAGUUUAGAAGUGUUGUUUGAUGUUGUUGUUGUUGUUCUUGCUCAGUUGAUUCAUCCGUUUCUGCCCAUAUUUGAUUAUUUCAAGUUCGAUUAUCAGUUAUCUAGGUACAUAUUCUUGAACUUGUAUCAUUACUUGAUGAAAUGGUUGAAAUCUUAAGUAAAUUGUUUUUUUCAAUUGUUCAUUCUUAUUUUUGCAAGUAUUUUCUGACAGAACUGCUCAUUUAAGUGUAAUUUGGAUAUGUUUGGCUUGUUUGUGAUUCAAAGAUUUAAAUGUACCUCCAAUGUUAUCAAUUGAUAUCUGUCGUUAAAUUGGUUAGCAAGCAUGUUAGUAAAUUAAAAUAUCAUAUAUCCUUAUGUCUCCUGCCACUGAUGAUUGUAAAUUCAUUAGACGUUUCUUGGCUUGUAACUAAUGUGAUUUGCCUCUCUGGUUGAAUUCUAUGAUUGAGAUUGAAGUCAUGUAAUAUGCCAAUUGAAGUAUAAACAGAUUAGUUCUCAUUUAUUUAAUAGUUGUUGAAUU